UAGGGAAUCUUCCGCAAUGGACGAAAGUCUGACGGAGCAACGCCGCGUGAGUGAAGAAGGAUUUCGGUUCGUAAAACUCUGUUGUUAGGGAAGAAAAAAUGUAUAGUAACUAUAUACAAAAGAGACGGUACCUAACCAGAAAGCCACGGCUAACUACGUGCCAGCAGCCGCGGUAAUACGUAUGUGGCAAGCGUUUUCCGGUAUUAUUGGGCGUACAGCGCGCGCAGGUGGUUUAGAAAGUCUGAUGUGAAAGCCCACGGCUCAACCGUGGAGGGUCAUUGGAAACUAAUAAACAUGAGUGCAGGAGAGAAAAGUGGAAUUCCUAGUGUAGCGGUGAAAUGCGUAGAGAUUAGGAGGAACACCGGUGGCGAAAGCGGCUGUUUGGGCUGCAACUGACACUGAGGGGCGAAAGCGUGGGGAGCAAACAGG
This 429-nucleotide ribosomal RNA is filed under the name Verrucomicrobiota bacterium. RNAcentral describes it as "Verrucomicrobia bacterium partial 16S ribosomal RNA". It matches the Rfam family "Bacterial small subunit ribosomal RNA", at positions 355 to 776 of the family's 1533-position model. The record is from RNAcentral. Lineage: Bacteria; Pseudomonadati; Verrucomicrobiota.